AUUGAACGCUGGCGGCAGGCCUAACACAUGCAAGUCGAGCGAGCGGCGGACGGGUGAGUAAUGUAUGGGGACUGCCCGAUAGCGGGGGAUAACUACUGGAAACGGUGGCUAAUACCGCAUACUAUCGGAUAACACAUAUGGGAUUAGAUAGUAGGUGGGGUAAAGGCUCACCUAGGCGACGAUCUAUAGCUGUUCUGAGAGGAUGAUCUGCCACACGGGGCCGUGGAAACGGACCAGUCUCCUGCGGAGUCUGCAGUGGGGAUUAUUGCACAAUGGGCGCAAGCCUUAUGCUGCCAUGCCGCGUGUAUGAAGGAUGCCUGAGGGUUUUAAAGUACUUUCAGCGGGGAGGCGUUACCCGCAGAAGAAGCACAGGCUAACUCCGUGCCAGCAGCCGCGGUAAUAC
This 403-nucleotide ribosomal RNA is filed under the name uncultured bacterium. RNAcentral describes it as "partial 16S ribosomal RNA". It matches the Rfam family "Bacterial small subunit ribosomal RNA", at positions 30 to 526 of the family's 1533-position model. The record is from RNAcentral.